RNAcentral lists this transfer RNA (75 nucleotides) under Cordylochernes scorpioides. RNAcentral's name for it is "tRNA-Gly". Lineage: Eukaryota; Metazoa; Arthropoda; Arachnida; Pseudoscorpiones; Chernetidae. The record is from RNAcentral.
AUCAUUGGCCGGGAAUCGAACCCGGGGUGCCUACAUGGCAGGCGAGCAUUCUACCACUGAACCAAAAGCAAACGA